Molecule: RNase P RNA, 277 nt
Filed under: Candidatus Pelagibacter sp.
Lineage: Bacteria; Pseudomonadati; Pseudomonadota; Alphaproteobacteria; Candidatus Pelagibacterales; Candidatus Pelagibacteraceae
Description: partial RNase P RNA component class A
Rfam family: Bacterial RNase P class A
About the family: Ribonuclease P (RNase P) is a ubiquitous endoribonuclease, found in archaea, bacteria and eukarya as well as chloroplasts and mitochondria. Its best characterised activity is the generation of mature 5'-ends of tRNAs by cleaving the 5'-leader elements of precursor-tRNAs. Cellular RNase Ps are ribonucleoproteins.
Source: RNAcentral
UGGCGGGGGAAACCCUAGGGAUAGUGCCACAGAAAAUAAACCGCCAUAACAUGGCAAGGGUGAAAAGGUGUGGUAAGAGCACACCGGUUCUAUUGGUAACAAUGAACGCUGGAAAACCCCACUGGGAGCAAGACUAAGUAGAGAUGACAUUGUGUAACAACUAAAAGCCAUCCUUGGCUCGUCAUCAGGGUUAGUUGCUUGAGCUUAAGAGUGAUCUUAAGCCUAGACAAAUGAUAGGUUUAAAUGACAGAACCCGGCUUACAGUUUAUCUGGCAAA